This 204-nucleotide unclassified non-coding RNA is filed under the name soil metagenome. RNAcentral describes it as "partial contains 5.8S ribosomal RNA, internal transcribed spacer 2, and large subunit ribosomal RNA". The record is from RNAcentral.
AAGACUAUAGACCUGCGGAGUACCUGCGGAAGGAUCAUUACCUAGAGUUUGUAGACUUCGGUCUGCUACCUCUUACCCAUGUCUUUUGAGUACCUUCGUUUCCUCGGCGGGUCCGCCCGCCGAUUGGACAACAUUCAAACCCUUUGCAGUUGCAAUCAGCGUCUGAAAAAACAUAAUAGUUACAACUUUUAACAACGGAUCUCU